This is a small nuclear RNA of Peromyscus californicus insignis, 103 nucleotides long. NCBI's taxonomy places the organism in Eukaryota, Metazoa, Chordata, Mammalia, Rodentia, Cricetidae. The record is from RefSeq and is a predicted model, not a curated record.
UUGCUUUGGCAGCACAUAUACUAAAAUUGGAACCAUACAGAGAAUAUUGGCACGGCCCCUGUGCGAGGAUGGCACGCAAGUUCAUGAAGCAUUCUGUAUUUUU